UGCGAUAAAGUAGCCUCAUCAGUAAGUAAGUCUUCUGCAUGUGAGCCGAUUAUAUCUGCGCUGGUUUCUGGUACAUGGGAUCAGGUGGCUUUGCUGGCUUCAUCUGACCCAUCACAGCGUUUAAGAAUCCACGCAAUGGCUCUUCUUGUAAACUAUGUACCAUUCUCUGAAAGACGCAACUUGCAAUCACUUCUUGCAGCAGCUGAUACAGUUCUACAGUGUUUGACAAAACUAUCACAACCAACCUGUGAAGGACCAUUAGCGCAACUUUCUAUUAUACUUUUUGCCAGUAUUUGCCUAUACUCUCCAGUUGAAGAUAUUUCACUUAUUCCUGAAAAUAUUUGGAGCGGUAUUGAAAGUUUUGCAUUAGGAGGAAAUGAAAGAUUUCCUGUCGGACUUGAGAAAAGAACUUGCCAAGCUUUAUGUAGACUGAGAAAUGAAGGGGAUGAGGCUAAAGAGAUGUUGAAAGAAGCUCUCUCUUCAAAUUCCCAGCAGCAAAUGGAUCCAGAUUUUGGUCAUACACGCGAAACAAUCCUUCAGGUCAUAUCUGAUUUGUCCACAGUCAACUCAUACUUAGACUUUUUCUCAAAGGAAUGCCACGAAAAAGUUCUGGAAUUGGAGGAGGCUGAGAUUGAAAUGGAACUUCUUCAGAAGGAAAAAACAAUGCAGGAAUUAUCAGCUGAAUUUAAAGAUUUGCAUCAGCUUCCAUUCCUAACUGAUUCGGCAAGGCAAGAUAACCGCUUGCAGCAAAUCAAAGAGGAAAUCAAAUCCUUAGAAAAGGCCAAACUCAAAGAGGAGGUUGUAGCACGCAG
RNAcentral lists this unclassified non-coding RNA (812 nucleotides) under Hevea brasiliensis (rubber tree). Lineage: Eukaryota; Viridiplantae; Streptophyta; Magnoliopsida; Malpighiales; Euphorbiaceae. The record is from RNAcentral.